Molecule: ribosomal RNA, 426 nt
Filed under: uncultured bacterium
Lineage: Bacteria
Description: bacterial SSU rRNA
Rfam family: Bacterial small subunit ribosomal RNA
Source: RNAcentral
GAUGAACGCUAGCGGCAGGCUUAACACAUGCAAGUCGAGGGGUAGUCUCGUUUCGACGAGAUGAGACCGGCGCACGGGUGCGUAACGCGUAUGCAAUCUACCUAUUGCUGAGGGAUAGCCCAGAGAAAUUUGGAUUAAUACCUCAUAGUAUCUUGUUAACGCAUGUUAACGAGAUUAAAGAUUUAUCGGCAAUAGAUGAGCAUGCGUCCCAUUAGUUAGUUGGUAAGGUAACGGCUUACCAAGACAAUGAUGGGUAGGGGUCCUGAGAGGGAGAUCCCCCACACUGGUACUGAGACACGGACCAGACUCCUACGGGAGGCAGCAGUGAGGAAUAUUGGGCAAUGCUCGAGAGAGUGACCCAGCCAUGCCGCGUGCAGGAUGCACGGUCCUAUGGAUUGUAAACUGCUAUUAUACNGGAAGAAACAC